CUCUUCCUUGAAGAGUCGUACC
This 22-nucleotide microRNA is filed under the name Branchiostoma floridae (Florida lancelet). Its description in RNAcentral is "Bfl-Mir-12491_3p (mature (guide))". Lineage: Eukaryota; Metazoa; Chordata; Leptocardii; Amphioxiformes; Branchiostomatidae. The record is from RNAcentral.